CUAAUUGGAUACUCUGCACUCUGAUUUUGUCAUUGAUGUAGAUCCGACCAUUGUGGAGGCAUUACUUUCAGAACACUCAGGGGCUAAUCUUCGUUGUUGAUAGUAAUGAUCGAGACCGUGUGGUUGAGGCUAGGGAUGAGCUACACAGGAUGUUGAAUGAGGUAAUUAAACUGAUUUAUGUUGUUGGGUCAGUCUUUAUCCAGGACACUGAAAAUAGGCUACAUUUCUUGUUAAGAAUUUAAUAUAAUACGUCCAACUUUUCAAUUCACUGCAUCAGAGAUGACUUACUUGAUUCAGGUCAAAAUUUUUAAAGUCUGCUUACCGACACACGUGUUAAUAGUUUUAAAACUUAUUAAAUCUGUUCUUGGCAACGAUUAUUGUUAAUGCCUCUGUAGGAUGAACUGAGGGAUGCAGUGCUUCUAGUUUUUGCGAACAAACAAGAUCUACCAAAUGCUAUGAAUGCUGCUGAGAUAACUGACAAGCUUGGACUUCACUCUCUCCGUCAACGCCAUUGGUACUUCCUAACCCUUCUCUCUCCGUGUAUGUUGCUGGGACUCUUUCUAAAAAUUUCUGAAGAACUUUUUAAGUUCCUAAUACAUAUCCAAGGAUCCGUGUCUAAAUUUUGGAUCCUUUUUAGCCAUAUCUCCAUAUCAUAGAUCUUAGAAAAAAAAGGGAUAUAACUCUUGGAUAUGUACCCAUACAUACACCUGCAACUAGGCAUGCGUGGGUGGCCACAUGUUUUCAGAGGAAGAAUUUGUCUGUGAAUCAACGUGUCUUAUGUACCUGGACCAUUGACGACUUUCUUUUCCAUUUUUUGCAGGUAUAUCCAGAGCACAUGUGCCACCUCUGGGGAAGGACUUUACGAGGGACUGGACUGGCUGUCAAACAACAUUGCCAACAAGGUAGGAUCUUUGUGAUUGCCCAGCACAAGCCGAUCAUGCUGGCUUAUAUUUCAUUCACAUAAUGCUAAUAGUACAUUCUUGUGAUUCUUUUUGUUAUAACAGGCAUAAAAGAGACUAUAUUGGAUGAUUAUGAUAGCCUAAUUCUCAUCAAAGAGGAAAUUGUCUUUCAUUUUUCAGGCUUUUGUGUCUCACUAUCUUGAAAACUCAGUACUUUAAUCUCUUUAUUUUUUCCGUAGAAAUUUGUCAUUUCUGUCGUGUAGAUUUAUAUUCGAAAUUCUGUAAUUUCAGCAUUCUUGAAUACCUUUUGGAUUGAUUAAUUUUCAAAAUGACGCUCCUCCUCUCAUUCAUUGAAUGAAAUGGAAAUUACUACAUUUUGAAUUUCACAAAUCCAUUUGGUCAAAGCAUAUAUAUUCCAAGUACAUUACAUUGGCAGGGAAUCUUCACUUGAAAAGUUCAAUGAUAUUAACUUUUGAGAUUAACCUCAAAAGAUUUGGCGGAAGUAUAGAGAUACUAUGAUUUUAAGAUACCCUAGAGAUGUCACGAAGUUUUACGCUCGUGGUCUCUAGAUAUGGUCUCGAGAUGGUGUCAAAAAUGGACGGGUGGCUCUGUUUCGUUGCGAACCAGCUCACUAGAGAGUCAGAUUGAAAUUGG
Molecule: long non-coding RNA, 1553 nt
Filed under: Olea europaea subsp. europaea
Lineage: Eukaryota; Viridiplantae; Streptophyta; Magnoliopsida; Lamiales; Oleaceae
Source: RNAcentral